UCAUGUUGCUGAAGGUCUCCAGGACAGGACACACUGUCUCUCUCCUGUGCUAGUACAGGGAUGUGCCAUGAGCACUACAGCACUCUGCUGCUUCCAGCCUCUGGAAUAACUGAUGGAUAACACAAGAGAGGAGUCCCUGAGAGUGGGGGAUGUCAGCAUUGAGAUGCAAUGUUUCAGGAGAGUCUGCUCCCCAGCAAGCUGCUUAAAUCCCUCUGCAGAUCUGGAAAAUCCUCAGCUGUUAUGGCUUCCAAAGGACCAGAUUCUGAGAUGUGAAGCACUGACAGGUGGAUAAUAGAAAUGUUCUGGACAGUCAGAGUGCUGCUGGAGAUGACAUAUGGGAAGGUG
Molecule: long non-coding RNA, 345 nt
Organism: Pyrgilauda ruficollis (rufous-necked snowfinch)
Lineage: Eukaryota; Metazoa; Chordata; Aves; Passeriformes; Passeridae
Exons: 3
Source: RefSeq, a predicted model, not a curated record